RNAcentral lists this small RNA (462 nucleotides) under Histoplasma ohiense. Its description in RNAcentral is "hypothetical lncRNA". Lineage: Eukaryota; Fungi; Ascomycota; Eurotiomycetes; Onygenales; Ajellomycetaceae. The record is from RNAcentral.
CCGCAUUCUUGUUGGCCUGAAGGAUAAUCUCGUGCUUCCCGUUAACAACAGAGCCUUUGUCUAAUCGAUAAUUUUUCUUCGAGUCAUUUUUCGGAGUUUGGGACGGGUAGAGUCGAUGGCCUCGAGACGUGCCUUGGACUUUAGGGAGGACUCUAGUCCAGGGAACGCCGAACAAAAACUUGCGAGCUGACUUGAUAGAAGGAGGUAUUGUUGCAGUUCCUGUUGCAGUGCCUAUUGCUUGUUAUCUGGGUGUUGUGAUUGUUAGCAAAAUAUACGCACUGUUCUCAGCGUUGAUCCCAAGGGAUGAUUUUGAGAUAAGUUAUAUUGGUUCAAAGAUCGGAUCGAAGUAUAUGGCACUGUUGGAGUAUUGAGUUUGAGGGGAAGAGUGCUGCUACCUAGGUAGUGAACGCUCCUAAAGGGCGUGACGGGACCAUUAUAUUUCUUAAGGCAUUGCAUUUGAUU